AAAACAAUUGAAUGGCAUCAUUUGAUUGUCAAAGGAGUAAUCCGGUGUAAAUGGACCCGCGUCCGAUUAGCUAGUUGGUGAGGUAAAGGCUCACCAAGGCACGAUCGGUAGCCGAACUGAGAGGUUGAUCGGCCACAUUGGGACUGAGAACGGCCCAGACUCCUACGGGAGGCAGCAGUGGGGAAUAUUGCGCAAUGGGGAAACCCUGACGCAGCAACGCCGCGUGAAGGAUGAAGGCUUUCGGGUCUAAACUUCUUUGAUUAGGGACGAAUAAAUGACGGUACCUAAAAAACAAGCACGGCUAACUACGUGCCAGCAGCCGCGGUAAUACGUAGGUGGCGAGCGUAUCCGGAAUUACUGGGUGUAAAGGGCGUGUAGGCGGGGAAGUAAGUCAGUGUGAAAUUCCGGAGCUCAACUCCGGCGCUGCAUCUGAAACUGCAUCUCUGAGUACUGGAGAGGAAAAGUGGGAAUUCCUAGUGUAACCGGUGAA
Molecule: ribosomal RNA, 490 nt
Filed under: uncultured bacterium
Lineage: Bacteria
Description: bacterial SSU rRNA
Rfam family: Bacterial small subunit ribosomal RNA
Source: RNAcentral